RNAcentral lists this ribosomal RNA (396 nucleotides) under uncultured fungus. RNAcentral's name for it is "eukaryotic LSU rRNA". The stretch from base 1 to 71 matches the Rfam family "5.8S ribosomal RNA", at positions 84 to 154 of the family's 154-position model. Lineage: Eukaryota; Fungi. The record is from RNAcentral.
GUGAAUCAUCGAAUCUUUGAACGCAUAUUGCGCUCUUUGGUAUUCCGAAGAGCAUGCUUGUUUGAGUAUCAGUAAACACCUCAAAACUCUUGAUCUUUUUCAAGCGUUUUGGACUUGAGCAAACCCAACGCCUUUUCUUUUAAGAUCUGUUGCGGCGGGUUGCUUGAAAUGCAGGUGCAGCCGGACAAUCUCCUGAGCUAAAAGCAUAUUUAUUUAGUCCCGUCAAACGGAUUAUUACUUUUUGCUGCAGCUAACAUAAAGGGAGUUUUGACCAUUAUGGCUGACUGAUGCAGGAUUUCACAGAGAAAAGGCCGGCAACGGUUUUGUCUCUGUCAAACUCGAUCUCAAAUCAAGUAAGACUACCCGCUGAACUUAAGCAUAUCAAUAAGCGGAGGA